Microtus oregoni (creeping vole) is the source of this 1190-nucleotide long non-coding RNA. RefSeq lists it as uncharacterized. The record is from RefSeq and is a predicted model, not a curated record. The transcript is spliced from 4 exons. NCBI's taxonomy places the organism in Eukaryota, Metazoa, Chordata, Mammalia, Rodentia, Cricetidae.
CUGUGCCCACAGAGGCCAAAAGAGAACAUCAGAUCUCCCUGGAACGGGGAUUACAGAUAUUUGUGAGUGAAAGGAGCAAACCGGAUCCACUGGAAGUGCAGUAGGCGCACUUAACUUCCCAGCUUUCAUUCAGCCUCCCCAAGGAGCCCUCACCAGUCCCAGCCGACCCUGCCCCUCUCCACCUCCAUUUUGGUAAGGAACGUCUUAGGCUUGGGGAUGAUCCGGGAGGAAUUCUAGGGCUCAGAAGGCGGAGCCUUACGUGUCGUCAGGGAAACACAGCUAUGCCCGGUGGAGAAGUACAAUUCCUGUCUAGAACUACAACUCCGGUCCACCCCUGCGCUCCCGGGUCCUCUAGAUGGUGGCCCUCAAGAAAAAAGCCGGAGCAGGCAGCCACUAGGGGAGCAUACAGGGCCCACCGCGUUAUUCAGCUGUUCCAGUCAAGUUCUCAGAGAAGCAGCAGGCUUUUCAGUACCUGUAUGUGAGACAGCACAGAGUUCGCCAAGACACCCAGUCCACGUGGCCCGCCAAUAGGACCCUUUUUAUCCUCAAUGUGCCCCCGUACUGCACGAAGAGUGGAUCAGUGACUACAGAGAUUCAGUGCUCGCCCCUGAGGCCCUGAGGGUGGAAGUGGACACUUUCAUGGAGGCCUACGACAAGAAGAUAGCUGAGACCUAGCACAGCUGCGCAAGAAGUUCGAGGAGGACAAGCAGAGGAUUGAACUGAUGCGUGCCCAACGCAAAUUCCGACCCUACUGAGCUGUUCUGGAUGUGGAGAGCUGGCGUGGAGAACACAAAGACCGGCAGGCCUGCUGCCUUGGGGACUGUGCUUAGGGGAGCAGAUGCCAGGCCAAGAAGCUGCUGCGUCCCACAGCUCCAGCUCUUCACCCACGCAGGCUGGAAAUCAGGACGAGAGGAGGAUUUGGUCUUGAGGAGCUGCCCCUGCCUCUUUGGGCCUGGGAGACACUCCUGGGAAAUGUGACUGCUCUCUGCUCUGAACCUGUUACCCUCCACGAAUCCCUGCUGACAACAGAGCCAUUCAGAAGGCAGGAAAGAGGGAGGAAGAUUUUAUUUCCACAGAGACCGGUGAUAAGCACAAGCUGCAGAGACCCAAACGCAGCCCUGCUCCCUCAGCAGCACCAGCUUAGUAGAGCUCACCAACCGCAAGCCCCAGACCACUGUGCCCUUCCUGAA